CUCUUAUCGAGAGUGGCAGAGGGACUAGGCCCUGUGACGCCCGGCAACCUUCAAGUAGAUACUUGAAAAGGUGCUAAUUCCUACAGAUCUAUGGAUCUGGAAGAUAAGUG
RNAcentral lists this non-coding RNA (110 nucleotides) under Halobacillus halophilus. RNAcentral describes it as "SAM-I sequence". It matches the Rfam family "SAM riboswitch aptamer (S box leader)". Rfam says of the family: The SAM riboswitch is found upstream of a number of genes which code for proteins involved in methionine or cysteine biosynthesis in Gram-positive bacteria. Lineage: Bacteria; Bacillati; Bacillota; Bacilli; Caryophanales; Bacillaceae. The record is from RNAcentral. RNAcentral also lists the same sequence under 1 other name.